RNAcentral lists this non-coding RNA (148 nucleotides) under Pan troglodytes (chimpanzee). Lineage: Eukaryota; Metazoa; Chordata; Mammalia; Primates; Hominidae. The record is from Rfam by way of RNAcentral.
GCCAGGCGUGGUGGUGCACACCUGUAGUCCCAGCUACUCGGGAGGCUGAGACAGGAGAAUUGCUUGAACCCAGGAGGCAGAGGUUGCAGUGAGCCAAGAUGGCGCCGUUGCACUCCAGCCUGGGUGACACAGCAAGACUCUGUCUCAA